CCUACGGGAGGCAGCAGUGGGGAAUUUUGGACAAUGGGCGCAAGCCUGAUCCAGCCAUGCCGCGUGCGGGAAGAAGGCCUUCGGGUUGUAAACCGCUUUUGUCAGGGAAGAAAUCUUCUGGGCUAAUACCCUGGGAGGAUGACGGUACCUGAAGAAUAAGCACCGGCUAACUACGUGCCAGCAGCCGCGGUAAUACGUAGGGUGCAAGCGUUAAUCGGAAUUACUGGGCGUAAAGCGUGCGCAGGCGGUUAUGCAAGACAGAGGUGAAAUCCCCGGGCUCAACCUGGGAACUGCCUUUGUGACUGCAUAGCUAGAGUACGGCAGAGGGGGAUGGAAUUCCGCGUGUAGCAGUGAAAUGCGUAGAUAUGCGGAGGAACACCGAUGGCGAAGGCAAUCCCCUGGGCCUGUACUGACGCUCAUGCACGAAAGCGUGGGGAGCAAACAGGAUUAGAUACCCUGGUAGUCCACGCCCUAAACGAUGUCAACUGGUUGUUGGGAGGGUUUCUUCUCAGUAACGUAGCUAACGCGUGAAGUUGACCGCCUGGGGAGUACGGCCGCAAGGUUGAAACUCAAAUGAAUUGACGG
Molecule: ribosomal RNA, 585 nt
Filed under: uncultured bacterium
Lineage: Bacteria
Description: bacterial SSU rRNA
Rfam family: Bacterial small subunit ribosomal RNA
Source: RNAcentral